Molecule: RNA transcript, 7868 nt
Organism: Neofelis nebulosa (Clouded leopard)
Lineage: Eukaryota; Metazoa; Chordata; Mammalia; Carnivora; Felidae
Gene: MGAT4A
Gene name: alpha-1,3-mannosyl-glycoprotein 4-beta-N-acetylglucosaminyltransferase A
Exons: 16
Source: RefSeq, a predicted model, not a curated record
CGCCCGGCAGCGGCGGCGGCGGCAGCGGCGGCCACAGCAGCCUUGGCGGCGGCCGCGGCAGGACUGGCAGCGCCAGCGGCGGGUGAGGGGCUUGCGGCUCGCGGCUUGUGGCGGUGGCGGCGCACGGGCUGCCUCGAGGAAGAAAGAAGCCUGAGACAUCAGCCUAUGAAGACUGAAGACCAUCCUGAAUAGCAAUUAUGAAUGGUGUUGCUGCUAGGCUUGUUCUGCAGAGCAUCUGAAAUGAACCUCUCUUAUUGAUUGUUUUUAUUGGCCCAGAGCCAGGAGUACUGGAUUCAGUUGACUUCACGAUUAAAAGAAAACAGUUUUGGUUACCAUCAUAAACAUAUGAACCAUUGUGAUGGUGAAAUGAGAUGAGGCUCCGAAAUGGAACUGUAGCUACUGUUUUAGCAUUUAUCACUUCGUUCCUUACUUUAUCUUGGUAUACCACGUGGCAAAAUGGGAAAGAAAAACUGAUUGCUUAUCAACGAGAGUUUCUUGCCUUGAAAGAACGUCUUCGUAUAGCUGAACAUAGAAUCUCGCAGCGCUCUUCUGAAUUAAAUGCCAUUGUACAGCAGUUCAAGCGUGUAGGAGCAGAAACAAAUGGAAGUAAGGAUGCAUUAAAUAAGUUUUCAGAUAAUACCCUAAAGCUAUUAAAGGAGUUAACAAGCAAAAAAUCUCUUCAAGUGCCAAGCAUUUAUUAUCAUUUGCCUCAUUUAUUGCAAAAUGAAAGAAGCCUUCAGCCUGCUCUGCAGAUUGGUAAUGGAAGAACAGGAGUGUCAAUAGUAAUGGGAAUUCCCACAGUGAAGAGAGAAGUUAAAUCUUACCUCAUAGAAACUCUUCAUUCCCUUAUUGAUAAUCUGUAUCCUGAAGAGAAGUUGGACUGUGUUAUAGUAGUCUUCAUAGGAGAGACAGAUAGUGAUUAUGUACACAGUGUUGUAGCCAACCUGGAGAAAGAAUUUUCUAAAGAAAUCAGUUCUGGUUUGGUGGAAAUAAUAUCACCUCCUGAAAGCUAUUAUCCUGACCUGACAAACUUAAAGGAGACAUUUGGAGACUCUAAAGAAAGAGUAAGAUGGAGAACAAAGCAAAACCUGGAUUAUUGUUUUCUAAUGAUGUAUGCUCAGGAAAAGGGAAUAUAUUACAUUCAGCUUGAAGAUGAUAUUAUUGUCAAACAGAAUUACUUUAACACUAUAAAAAAUUUUGCACUUCAACUUUCUUCUGAGGAAUGGAUGAUACUAGAAUUCUCCCAGCUGGGCUUCAUUGGUAAAAUGUUUCAAGCACCAGACCUCACUCUGAUUGUGGAAUUCAUAUUUAUGUUCUAUAAGGAGAAACCCAUUGAUUGGCUCUUGGACCAUAUACUCUGGGUAAAAGUCUGCAACCCUGAGAAAGAUGCAAAACAUUGUGAUAGACAGAAAGCCAAUCUACGAAUUCGCUUCAGACCUUCCCUUUUCCAACAUGUUGGUCUGCAUUCUUCUCUAUCAGGAAAAAUUCAGAAACUCACGGAUAAAGAUUACAUGAAACCAUUACUUCUUAAGAUCCAUGUAAACCCACCUGCAGAGAUAUCUACUUCUUUGAAGGUGUACCAAGGACAUACACUGGAGAAAACUUACAUGGGGGAAGAUUUCUUCUGGGCUAUAACCCCAAUAGCCGGAGACUACAUCUUAUUCAAAUUUGAUAAGCCAGUCAAUGUAGAAAGUUAUUUGUUCCAUAGUGGCAACCAAGAACAUCCAGGAGAUAUUCUCCUAAACACAACUGUGGAAGUUUUGCCUCUUAAGAGUGAAGGUUUGGAAAUAAGCAAAGAAACCAAAGACAAACGAUUAGAAGAUGGUUAUUUCAGAAUAGGUAAUACCUCCUACUUUAAACUGGAAAAUUUGAGAAUGGCGUUGCUGAAGGAAUGGUGGAUCCCAGUCUAAACCCCAUUUCAGCCUUUCGACUUUCAGUCAUUCAGAAUUCUGCUGUUUGGGCCAUUCUUAACGAGAUUCAUAUUAAAAAAGUCACCAACUGAUCAUCCGCUAAGAAACCAGUUCAUUUUUUUCCUGUGAAUUUGUUAAUUAAAGAUAGUUAAGCAUGUAUCUUUUUUUUUUUUUUUUUUACUUGAACACUACCUCUUGUGAAAUCUACUGUAGAUAAGAUGAUUGUCAUUUCCACUUGGAAAGUGAACCUCCCAUGGGUAAUUGCAUUCAUUCGAACCUAAGCUGUCCUCCAAUUUUAACUUGACUCAAACAUUUUACAGUUACGACAGCCUGUUAAUAUGACUUGUACUAUUUUGGUAUUAUACUAAUACAUAAGAAUUGUACAUAUUGUUACAUUCCUUAAAUUUGAGAAAAAUUAAUGUUAAAUACAUUUUAUGAAGGGGGUACUUUUGAAGUUCAUUUAUUUUACUAUUAUAGACCCUCUUUUAUAGAUUAUCAGGGAUUAUAUAUAUAUAAAUAUAUAAAUAUACAUAAAAAUGUUAUGGAGUUAAUUUAUUAGAAACAUUUAAGAAGUACAUAUUUUUGUGCAGUAAAUUUUUGAAUCAAUACUUUUUUUGGAAAGUUACCUUGCUUUUUUAAGUUCUUUCUAUAUUUUUCUUUGGAAAUGCAAACAUUACAAAUUAAUGCCAUUUUUCAAAUGCACUGCCAUUUAAGAAUGAUUCUAGAUUGAUUUCCUAACUGAAGUACUUUUAUAAUCGCAGUGAUUCUGAACAAAAUAUUUUCAAAGGCAUUUGUCAUUCCUUAAAGCCAAGAUUUUAAAGACCAAUGUCCUUCUUGAGGGUUAUUUUACUAUACUGUUUAUGGUGUAAAAAAUCAGUCUGAUAAAUUUUAAUGUGCAGGGGUCAUGCAUUCAACCCAAAUUAUCAUGGACUGAACUCAUUACAUUCCCUCUGAUAUGUAAGAUGACAGAUCUUUUUUCUCUUUUAAUCUUUGUCUUUACUCCAUGAGUUAGAUGCAUUAUCUCUUGUUGGUCCUUUUGUAUCUGCACCCAUUUUAUGAGUUCUGACAAAAUGUUUUCUAGGUAAUGUUAUUGUAUGAGUCAAAAUCACUUAAUUUUAAAGAAAAAUAAAAUUGUAAUAUUGGUUUUUAGGGAGAGGUAUUGUAGCAGUUGUAUGUUUUUCCAAAGUGGUUUAUUCUGUUGCGUUAUAAACUUCUAAGUAAAUUUAUAUCUGAAGAGUAUUUAUUACUCUUAAACAUGUAAUUCCAAAUGUUAUUACUACUGUAAACAAAAAUACUAUCAGCCUUAGCAGUCAGUGAUCUUUACAAAAGUAUUUUAUUUUUAAAAAGUUAUGAAUUAUCAGCAUCAGUUCCCAACCAGUCUGGUGUGCCGCAGGCAGGGUGCCAGAUGGGUUACAGAUGUGCAGAGACUGAUCCCCCGAACUCGCAGACUAGCCAGUGGCUGAAGCCUCGGGUGGCUGGAGGUUCCACCUGGUUGCCUCUCGCCUAGAGCAGCUUCGUGUGGUUAGCGAGGAUCCUGCAGCAAGAGCUUCCAGACAGCCUUGUUGUCUGUACAGUGUGGCGGGUUAAAGUUGUUGGAAAACACUGAAAGGGUAGUUACUUCCAUUACUCACAUCUGAAUCGUCGUUAGUCACUUUUCUUGAUUAAAGAGGUACACUUUGCCAAUAAUCUUUAUGUCAAAGUCUAGUUAAAAAUCUUGAUUGGGUUUUUAAAAUUUACUCUUCGUUUUCUUUAAUUUACUUUUUAUUUCGUAUUUCCCUGGCCGGAUCCUUGCAGGCAGAUUUCAUUUUAAAAACUAACCUUUUGUUACAAAAUUUUGGCAGCUGCUUCACAUACUAAAUGACUGUUGUGACAACUAAGUGUCCGGGGGGAAAUUCUGGAGGUGGGUUGAGACGUCCUCGUGUUUCCCUGCUUCCACAGUAGCCCACUCUGAUUUUAGAGAGAAAGCCGUGCUCUGAAAAUCUAAGGAGGUGACAGUUAUCACAGCUUGUCACCAUUUGGUAGGGCGUCUGUCUUUAGACUGACGAGCCUUACUAGCCAGCAUUUCCCUGUUUCAUGCUCAGUCUCCUCUCCCAGGCUUAGCUCAUCGCCCCGCCGCCCCCAUUCCCAAGAAUAGUUUGAACCAAAUCUUACCCACUGUUCAGAAACUGUCUUGUGUGUUCCUCCCCAUGAAUUGUUUCCAGUGCCUAGUAGCGCCUGGGACAGUGCCUGGCACAUGGGAGGUGCCCAGUCCGGGUCACCCACACUCCUCUUUCUUUUUAACUCCCUUUACCCACGUUCCUUGCCACCCUCUUACACACUCGGCUGUCGAGUUUCUGAUUGUUCACAGGGCAUGUGUUUGUGUAUGUACGUGUGUGCGCACACAUUCUCCAACUGACCAGGCUUCAAGCUCCUGGGGACAAGUCUGUGACUCAUCCUUUGCGUCUGUCCUCUGAUGCAGCAGGUGCUCGGAUCGUCUCAUUGUUAGUCUCUCCCUUCCCCCACUUCCUCCCUAGAAGGUUAGAAACAGCCAUGCUUUCCUCAAGCAAGACAUCAUAGUGGUAGCCCUGAAGAGUAGUUGGGACAGAGCCUUCGAGGAGGUGAAGAGUACCUGAGACUGAGGGAAGGAGGUGCUUAGCCUUGAGAGGACAUGGAGCCACUUUUAUGAGAGCAGUGAGUGGGGAAUGCGUCCAGUGGUGGGACUAAUUAUUAACAUAGAGAGAGAAAUCAAACAUGGUUUGCAUCUGGUGUGUAAACAUAAACACAUCAACUGUUAAGACUCUAGAGCUGCGCUGUCCGGUAUACAGUAGUAUACAGGCACAUGGUAGCUAUUUAAAUUUAAAUUAAUAAAACCUCAGCUCCUCAGUCACACUAGCUACAGUUCAAUGCUUGUUAGACACAUGUGGCUAGUGGCCCCUGGAAUGGACAGCACAGAUCUAGAGCCUUCCCUCAUUGCAGAAAGUUCUGCUGGACAGCGCCAUGUCAGGAGUGCUAUUAUGAACGCUUCAGAAACCAGAGUAAACCGUGUCUGCUAAAAGCAGACGUGCAGAAUAUAUCACAGUGCAGAUGAUGGGUAUGGUAGGUGAGAAGGUCGAGGACUGUUCCUAGGAUUCUAAGAUCUAAGAUUUCGGAGUUCUCGAAGUCUCCCGCGUUCUGUACAGCACACACAGUGCUGCACUGUGUAGUCAAAAAACGGUGGUUUCAGGCAGUGGGAUUAAAAAGCUUUGGAAAAAGUGAAUGCAUAUGGAUUAUUUAGCAGCCAGUCUGUAGACACGUAUGUGUAUAUUCAACCACCGGAGAGGUCUUCAAAAAAGGUAUGGCUUCUCAGAUUAGUAGUUGUACCAGCAAGGGAUUAGAAGAUGUCAUUAUUUUUAAAAAGCUUCAGCAACAUUCUGAAGGCUUCUUUUAAAUCUGUCAUCGUAAUGAAAAGGUUGUCUCCUAACAGUACUGUCCUCAAAGACAAGUUUGGUUAUGUGGAAACAGCAUGUUGGGAGCGAUUGGUAAUAGCUGUGUGUAUUUGUAGUAGCCGGAAGUCUGCACGUGACCCUCAGGUACCUAUAGGAGAUUCUCCCCCUUUGUGUGUGGGUGGAACCCAUGAAUACCAUCCAUAACUAUGUUAUACAGCAAAAGGGAGAUUAUCUGGGGACAGCUUACCUAAUCAUGUGAGCCCCUUAAAAGCAGUGUUUUCUCAGGCUGGUAGCAGAAGUCAGGGAUUGACAGCAAUAGAACUCAAGGCACACGAGAAGAAAUGCAGAUGCCCGGAAGGAGCUGACAGAGGCCUCAGCCAACAGCCCAGGGAGUGGGUACUCCAGGUCUACAGCCACAGGAACUCAGUUAAUCAACAACCUGAAUGAGCCUGCAACUACAAUCCCCUCCAGCAGAGAACCCGGCCCACCACCACCUUGAUUCCAGCCUUGUGAGACCCACUGCCGAGAACGCCAAUCAAGCCCACCCUGACUUCUGGCCUGCAGACUGUGAGAUAAUAAAUAGGUAUGGUCUUCAGCUUCUGAUUUCGUGAUUUGUUACACAGUAGAAAAUGAAUAUAAUAUUGAAAAGAGGUGACAAGUCUUUAUACGUGAUUGCCUGGAGUUAAGUUGGAUAUUUCUCGAUAACCAUAGGGGUCCAGUCUUACACUAGCAAACUUUUACCUGGGCAUCCUUUGGAGUUUCCCUCCCAGAGAAUCUCAAGUAGUUCUGACUGGAAGUUUGUCGCCAAAAACAUCUUAGCAGUGUAUCUUAGCAGUGUUUUGUAAAGAAACUGCUAGAGUGGUAUUGUGCUCGUACUAGAACCAGGAUCCAGUGUAUAUAGAAUCUUUUUCCUGGAAGAGGUGUUAUUUUGUGCUGGUUUAGUCUGCUCUGAUCCUGUCAGUAUACUAUUUAAGAAUGAUGGACAGUGGUAUUUUAAAUAUUAGGAGAGAGAAAAAACUUCUGCCUUUAUGUAAGAGAUCAGAUAAUCUACUCCGUACUGAAGAACUUAAUUUUUUUUAAACCCACUUGUUUAUUGUCUGAGCACAGAUCAAAUUCUGUAGGUGUCAACCAAAUUUUUAUACUUUGCAAAUAUUGUCCAAAAUACCUCUCUGCUUCCAAGCCAUUAAUUGCUGGUGAAGCUUGUUUUUAUUUUGUACAUUAAUUUUUGUGCUUAUUUUUACUAUAUUGCCAUACCCUUAAUAGAAGAAAAGCAGAGCUAAAGGGAAGAAAAUGAGAUGCUGAGACUGUCAGAAGGUGAGAAAUUGGAGUCAUAAUCAUCUUAAGUGUUCUAAGGGAACUCAAAUAGCCCAGCUCUUUCUUUUAUAGAAAAAGAAACUUUUCCAAGCUAUGUAGCAUUACUUACAGUGUGUGAAAUUUAGUUUGAUAGCUGUACAAUUUUAAUAAUCUUGAUAUAUGCCAUGAUAACUAGUAUGCUUAGUUUACUUCUUUAAUGCAUGUGAACAUAACAAUGCUGAAAAGACUACUACCACAGUAUUAAAAAAAAAAAAAAAAGGAUGUUAUAUAUAUCCCUGUCAUCAGUACCUAUAUAUAAACUCUUCUUGCCUAAAACACUCCACCUUUUUGGGCACUAACUAGAUCAUUUUCAAGGAAACAAAAAGGAAAGAGCUGGCACUCCCGUGCGUGUGCGCGCGUGCGUGUUGAGAAUUUAAAAAACAUUGUUUAGGAAAAUAAGCUGGGAAUUGAAUGGAAAGCACUCGGUGCAAAGUAUCCUUCCCAGUGUUGUUCACAUGGCAGUAAAAAUGUUAAUAGUGGUGCUAAACUUGUUCUCCAAAUAAGCAUUGUUUGUUGUGGGGAAUUUUUAAUGGUAUCUUGGACAUUAGGAAGGCUACUUUAUAUAUCUCUUGCUCCUCGUUUUCUGAUUAGUAAUUAGCAAAUCCCCCUGGAGUAAAAGGUUUGGUAUUUUAGUUUGAUUAGCAUUCCAUUAUUUGAAAUGUUCAGUGUUUGCUGGAAAUUGGGUGAAAAUACCUUUUGAAGACACAUUCUUUGAGCCUUAAAAAUGGCUGAUACCGACAGUACUGUAAGAUGCACUGCCAGCAGAUUUGAUACUUUUCAUUUCAGUACAGUGAUGUUUUCUAAGAAAGAUUUAGAAAUCAGUUGAUUAAACAUAACAAUUAUGUUUCAUUUAUGGAAUGAAAAACUAAUGUGUUUCUGAGAACGCCGGUAAGGUUAUGGCUGUUUCUGGAAGCACCUGUUAGAGAAGGUGCCUGAGGAAUUGCUUUUCCAGGUUGUACCAGAUUUUUGUUUUCUCCUUUAAUGUACAUAUUUUCCUUAAAAUGUUUUCAUUAGGUGAAUGGGUAAUAUCUGUAGUAAUAUUUUAGGUACCUGUUAGAUUUUUCAAGGAAGAUUAUUUAUUUUCAAAUUUGCUGCUAUAAUUGAAAACCUAAUAACUGGUCCUGUUGACUGUGCCUUUCAUCACUGUUUCUCUGUGCCACGACCGUUCAUGUGUAUUUGAAAUAAAGAAGUUUAAGAAGAA